Long non-coding RNA from Hypanus sabinus (Atlantic stingray), 519 nucleotides. RefSeq lists it as uncharacterized. The record is from RefSeq and is a predicted model, not a curated record. Lineage: Eukaryota; Metazoa; Chordata; Chondrichthyes; Myliobatiformes; Dasyatidae. The transcript has 2 exons.
CUUGAGUUUAAAUCCAGAACGCCACUGACGUCAAAGGAUGACAGCGGCCCUUUUUAUCAGCGCGGCUCCGCCGGGGCACAGGCAGCUGGCGACGCCGCGGGGUCCUAGCGCCCCCCGCCUUACGGCCGCCGGUGAUGAGUUUCAAGCAUUCAGGCUUGGAGAUGCCAGAAGCAGCCGGGAGUGAAAAUGAAAUGAUUUCACAACUUCAGCAAGUUAGGAACUACGAAGAAUAUGAAGGUAUCGACAAUCAUUUGGAAUGUUACAACAAAAAUGAAGAUUUGGAGGAUACAAUCGUCAAAAGGAUUAUAUGAAGGCAGUCCAUGAUUUGUAAUUGGUGUCUAUGCUGAUUUUGUUAAUUUAGAGUCAAUCAAAAGAACAUGGCAGCUUACAUUGAAUUAAUUCCUCCAUUGAUAACUAUUAGGAACUGAUACGCAGUUUAAAAGUAUUGACAGUGUUCUAAUUUGCUCUGUAUUUCAUUUAAGUACAUAAUUUGUUGUUCAAUUAAAGGGUAGUUUGUGA